GAGUGGCGAACGGGUGAGUAACACGUGGGUAACCUGCCCAUCAGAAGGGGAUAACACUUGGAAACAGGUGCUAAUACCGUAUAACAAUCGAAACCGCAUGGUUUCGGUUUGAAAGGCGCUUUUGCGUCACUGAUGGAUGGACCCGCGGUGCAUUAGCUAGUUGGUGAGGUAACGGCUCACCAAGGCAACGAUGCAUAGCCGACCUGAGAGGGUGAUCGGCCACAUUGGGACUGAGACACGGCCCAAACUCCUACGGGAGGCAGCAGUAGGGAAUCUUCGGCAAUGGACGCAAGUCUGACCGAGCAACGCCGCGUGAGUGAAGAAGGUUUUCGGAUCGUAAAACUCUGUUGUUAGAGAAGAACAAGGAUGAGAGUAAAAUGUUCAUCCCUUGACGGUAUCUAACCAGAAAGCCACGGCUAACUACGUGCCAGCAGCCGCGGUAAUACGUAGGUGGCAAGCGUUGUCCGGAUUUAUUGGGCGUAAAGCGAGCGCAGGCGGUUUCUUAAGUCUGAUGUGA
This 517-nucleotide ribosomal RNA is filed under the name Enterococcus avium. RNAcentral's name for it is "bacterial SSU rRNA". It matches the Rfam family "Bacterial small subunit ribosomal RNA", at positions 93 to 597 of the family's 1533-position model. The record is from RNAcentral. Lineage: Bacteria; Bacillati; Bacillota; Bacilli; Lactobacillales; Enterococcaceae.